UUGACCUCAAAUCGGGUGAGACUACCCGCUGAACUUAAGCAUAUCAAUAAGCGGAGGAAAAGAAACUAACAAGGAUUCCCCUAGUAACUGCGAGUGAAGCGGGAAAAGCUCAAAUUUAAAAUCUGGUGGCCUCUGGUCACCCGAGUUGUAAUUUAGAGAAGCGUCUUCCGCGCUGGACCGUGCACAAGUCUCCUGGAAUGGAGCGUCAUAGAGGGUGAGAAUCCCGUCUUUGGCACGGACACACCAGGGCUUUUGUGAUGCGCUCUCAAAGAGUCGAGUUGUUUGGGAAUGCAGCUCAAAAUGGGUGGUGAACUCCAUCUAAAGCUAAAUAUUGGCGAGAGACCGAUAGCGAACAAGUACCGUGAGGGAAAGAUGAAAAGCACUUUGGAAAGAGAGUGAAACAGUACGUGAAAUUGUUGAAAGGGAAACGCUUGAAGUCAGUCGCGUUGACCGAGACUCAGCCUUGCCUUGGCUUGGUGUACUUCUCGGCCAACGGGCCAGCAUCAAUUUUGCCCCUCGGAUAAUGGCAAGGGAAAGGUAGCACCUUUAUAGGUGUGUUAUAGUCUCCUGUCGCAUACGAGGGUUGGGAUUGAGGAACUCUGCACGUACGUGCUUAGGAUGCUGGCAUAAUGGCUUUAAACGACCCGUCUUGAAACACGGACCAAGGAGUCUAACGUGCCCGCGAGUGUUCGGGUGGAAAACCCGUGCGCGUAAUGAAAGUGAAAGUUGGGACCUCUGUCGUGGGGGGCACCGACGCCCGGACCAGACCUUCUGUGACGGAUCUGCGGUAGAGCGUGCAUGUUGGGACCCGAAAGAUGGUGAACUAUGCCUGAAUAGGGUGAAGCCAGAGGAAACUCUGGUGGAGGCUCGUAGCGAUUCUGACGUGCAAAUCGAUCGUCAAAUUUGGGUAUAGGGGCGAAAGACUAAUCGAACCAUCUAGUAGCUGGUUCCUGC
This 954-nucleotide ribosomal RNA is filed under the name Russula sp. RNAcentral's name for it is "partial large subunit ribosomal RNA". It matches the Rfam family "Eukaryotic large subunit ribosomal RNA", at positions 1 to 961 of the family's 3401-position model. Lineage: Eukaryota; Fungi; Basidiomycota; Agaricomycetes; Russulales; Russulaceae. The record is from RNAcentral.